This 490-nucleotide ribosomal RNA is filed under the name uncultured bacterium. RNAcentral's name for it is "partial 16S ribosomal RNA". It matches the Rfam family "Bacterial small subunit ribosomal RNA", at positions 29 to 507 of the family's 1533-position model. The record is from RNAcentral.
AUGAACGCUGGCUACAGGCUUAACACAUGCAAGUCGAGGGGAAACGACGGGGAAGCUUGCUUCCCCGGGCGUCGACCGGCGCACGGGUGAGUAACGCGUAUCCAACCUGCCUCUGACUGAGGGAUAACCCGUCGAAAGUCGGCCUAAUACCUCAUGGCAUCGUCUGCGGGCAUCCAACGACGAUUAAAGAUUUCAUCGGUCAGGGAUGGGGAUGCGUCUGAUUAGCUUGUUGGCGGGGUAACGGCCCACCAAGGCUACGAUCAGUAGGGGUUCUGAGAGGAAGGUCCCCCACAUUGGAACUGAGACACGGUCCAAACUCCUACGGGAGGCAGCAGUGAGGAAUAUUGGUCAAUGGACGGGAGCCUGAACCAGCCAAGUAGCGUGCAGGAUGACGGCCCUAUGGGUUGUAAACUGCUUUUAUGCGGGGAUAAAGUGAGGGACGUGUCCUUCAUUGCAGGUACCGCAUGAAUAAGGACCGGCUAAUUCCGUG